AGAAUGCAAGUCGAACGAGAGAAUUGCUAGCUUGCUAAUAAUUCUCUAGUGGCGCACGGGUGAGUAACACGUGAGUAACCUGCCCCCGAGAGCGGGAUAGCCCUGGGAAACUGGGAUUAAUACCGCAUAGUAUCGAAAGAUUAAAGCAGCAAUGCGCUUGGGGAUGGGCUCGCGGCCUACUAGUUAGUUGGUGAGGUAACGGCUCACCAAGGCGAUGACGGGUAGCCGGUCUGAGAGGAUGUCCGGCCACACUGGAACUGAGACACGGUCCAGACACCUACGGGUGGCAGCAGUCGAGAAUCAUUCACAAUGGGGGAAACCCUGAUGGUGCGACGCCGCGUGGGGGAAUGAAGGUCUUCGGAUUGUAAACCCCUGUCAUGUGGGAGCAAAUUAAAAAGAUAGUACCACAAGAGGAAGAGACGGCUAACUCUGUGCCAGCAGCCGCGGUAAUACAGAGGUCUCAAGCGUUGUUCGGAAUCACUGGGCGUAAAGCGUGCGUAGGCUGUUUCGUAAGUCGUGUGUGAAAGGCGCGGGCUCAACCCGCGGACGGCACAUGAUACUGCGAGACUAGAGUAAUGGAGGGGGAACCGGAAUUCUCGGUGUAGCAGUGAAAUGCGUAGAUAUCGAGAGGAACACUCGUGGCGAAGGCGGGUUCCUGGACAUUAACUGACGCUGAGGCACGAAGGCCAGGGGAGCGAAAGGGAUUAGAUACCCCUGUAGUCCUGGCAGUAAACGGUGCACGCUUGGUGUGCGGGGAAUCGACCCCCUGCGUGCCGGAGCUAACGCGUUAAGCGUGCCGCCUGGGGAGUACGGUCGCAAGAUUAAAACUCAAAGAAAUUGACGGGGACCCGCACAAGCGGUGGAGUAUGUGGCUUAAUUCGAUGCAACGCGAAGAACCUUACCUGGGCUUGACAUGUAAUGAACAACAUGUGAAA
This 935-nucleotide ribosomal RNA is filed under the name uncultured Akkermansia sp. RNAcentral describes it as "bacterial SSU rRNA". It matches the Rfam family "Bacterial small subunit ribosomal RNA", at positions 51 to 1006 of the family's 1533-position model. The record is from RNAcentral. Lineage: Bacteria; Pseudomonadati; Verrucomicrobiota; Verrucomicrobiia; Verrucomicrobiales; Akkermansiaceae.